Molecule: ribosomal RNA, 256 nt
Filed under: uncultured bacterium
Lineage: Bacteria
Description: partial 16S ribosomal RNA
Rfam family: Bacterial small subunit ribosomal RNA
Source: RNAcentral
CGGACGGGUGAGUAACGCGUGGGCAACCCUGCCCCGCACUGGGGGACAACAGCUGGAAACGGCUGCUAAUACCGCAUAGGCGCACAGCCUCGCAUGAGGCAGUGUGGAAAACUCCGGUGGUGCGGGAUGGGCCCGCGUCUGAUUAGCUGGUUGGCGGGGUAACGGCCCACCAAGGCAACGAUCAGUAGCCGGCCUGAGAGGGUGGACGGCCACAUUGGGACUGAGACACGGCCCAGACUCCUACGGAAGGCAGCAG